UACAGAGGUGGCAAGCGUUGUUCGGAAUUACUGGGCGUAAAGGGCGCGUAGGCGGCCUUCUAAGUCAGACGUGAAAUCCCCAGGCUUUACUUGGGAACUGCGUCUGAUACUGGGAGGCCUGAGUGCGGGAGAGGGAUGUGGAAUUCCAGGUGUAGCGGUGAAAUGCGUAGAUAUCUGGAGGAACACCGGUGGCGAAGGCGGCAUCCUGGACCGACACUGACGCUGAGGCGCGAAAGCUAGGGGAGCAAACGGG
This 253-nucleotide ribosomal RNA is filed under the name uncultured bacterium. Its description in RNAcentral is "partial 16S ribosomal RNA". It matches the Rfam family "Bacterial small subunit ribosomal RNA", at positions 524 to 776 of the family's 1533-position model. The record is from RNAcentral.